CGUCUAUAUACGUAUAGCAUAUCAAUAAGCGGAGGAAAAGAAACUAACAAGGAUUCCCCUAGUAACGGCGAGUGAAGCGGGAAGAGCUCAAAUUUGAAAUCUUAAAGGGUUUCCCUUUACGAAUUGUAGUUUAAAGAAGUGUUUUCUGUUGGAGUUUCGGUAAAAGUUCUUUGGAAUAGGACAUCAUAGAGGGUGAGAAUCCCGUAUUUGACCGUUACUUUCCAGCUGUGUGAUACACUUUCAAAGAGUCGGAUUGUUUGGGAAUGCAGUCCAAAAUGGGUGGUAUAUUUCAUCUAAAGCUAAAUACUGGCGAGAGACCGAUAGCGAACAAGUACCGUGAGGGAAAGAUGAAAAGAACUUUGAAAAGAGAGUUAAACAGUACGUGAAAUUGUCAAAAGGGAAGCGUUUGACACCAGUGUUGUUUUCUCGAAAAUCAAUUAAAAAAUGAUUGGAUUUUGUGUUGUAUUGACUUUAUCAGCUUUCUGCACUCUUUUCUUGUCUUUUUUAAUGCACUUUUCGUUUAACAAGUCAACAUCAAUUUCUUUUGUUGUAAAAGGGUCAUUGGAAGGUGGCUUUCUUUUCGGAGAAAGUGUUUAUAGCCUUUGGCUUCUGACAAGUCGGAGAGAUUGAGGUCUGCAGCGUAGAUCCUUCGGGGUUAGAUACAUUUGUGCUAAGUUAUAGCCUUUCAUAGACAACUUGUUGACUAUGAUCAGUCAUGUAGCUUACUCGCUUAUGUCUAUUUAUACCUACGCUUAGGAUGUUGAUCUGUAGUGCGUGCGC
RNAcentral lists this ribosomal RNA (780 nucleotides) under uncultured Neocallimastigales. Its description in RNAcentral is "partial large subunit ribosomal RNA". It matches the Rfam family "Eukaryotic large subunit ribosomal RNA", at positions 26 to 632 of the family's 3401-position model. Lineage: Eukaryota; Fungi; Neocallimastigomycota; Neocallimastigomycetes; Neocallimastigales. The record is from RNAcentral.